Long non-coding RNA from Mercenaria mercenaria, 350 nucleotides. RefSeq lists it as uncharacterized. NCBI's taxonomy places the organism in Eukaryota, Metazoa, Mollusca, Bivalvia, Venerida, Veneridae. The transcript is spliced from 3 exons. The record is from RefSeq and is a predicted model, not a curated record.
CUAGCCACAAGAAAUAAAUGAAAUGACAUAAACAUUUCCGUGUUUUGCAAUUCCGUUUCUUUAAAAAAUUUAAAUGAUUGAUAAUUUAUCGCCCUUUGAAUCGACACGCCAUUUGUAAACAUCGAAGGUCGCGGAGAAAAUGAAACUACCAAAAACAGUUAUUUGAUGAUUUAUUUCGAUUGUAUAAAGAAUGACAGUUAACGAAUGUCAAGAUCAACCACUAAGGAUUGUUUGGCUUGAUGCAAUGACCUUAAACAGUUAAAGGAUUUUCCAGGAAGGUUUAUACACCACAAGCUCGAUUCUUUUGGGUGAUGAAAGAACUAUGAAUAUGUGAAUGGGUAUGAAACAGA